This 369-nucleotide long non-coding RNA is filed under the name Phasianus colchicus (ring-necked pheasant). Its description in RNAcentral is "lncRNA (ENSPCLG00000012057.1)". Lineage: Eukaryota; Metazoa; Chordata; Aves; Galliformes; Phasianidae. The record is from RNAcentral.
GUUCCAUCAGAUGACCUUGCUUCACUAGUGGUCCAUAACAAACUACAGUAUUAAAGCUGAAAUCUGAAAUUUGGGAGUAAACAGGUUGAUAUGAAGAUAAUAGUCUGGAGCAGAGAAGUAGUGGAAGAUACCCACCAAAAGAGUGAGCAAUGAGCUGUUUCAACUUGGGAACAGAGGCUGCUAAAUUUUCAGAGCCUUUUAUGUUGAUCUCUUCCUCCAAAAGGUCUUAAUUAAAGCUCUACAGAAGCAGCUGUGAUUCAGGUAAACUUUUAUUCUACUUUUAAGAAUUUCUCCAUAUUUUGCAAGGUUUGAUUUAAACCAUGUAACUAUGUUCACAUGCUUCAGUAUUUAGUUGAAUUGCGUGCAGAC